RNAcentral lists this long non-coding RNA (272 nucleotides) under Oryza brachyantha (malo sina). Its description in RNAcentral is "long non-coding RNA (OBRA_LNC000812)". The record is from RNAcentral. Lineage: Eukaryota; Viridiplantae; Streptophyta; Magnoliopsida; Poales; Poaceae.
GACUGGGUUCGUCGUCCUCGUCACCAACGUGUUGAUGUCAAUGCGUGAGAAGGAAGAGUACUAGGAGGAGAGGGGGCUGGUGGAAGAUGAACAGGAGCAAAGUUCACAUUGGCAUGCUUACGUGUCAUGCCACGUCAACAAAAGUGGUAUAAAAUUAGAGAAUCAUCUCUCUCUAGUGGAAAAUACGUAAGAGCAAUUAUAAAAGUGGCAAUCGAAGAGUAGUCAUUUGUAAUAGUGGCAAAUACUUAAAUUCCGCGGAAAGAAAAAGGUGC